RNAcentral lists this ribosomal RNA (497 nucleotides) under uncultured bacterium. RNAcentral describes it as "partial 16S ribosomal RNA". It matches the Rfam family "Bacterial small subunit ribosomal RNA", at positions 28 to 507 of the family's 1533-position model. The record is from RNAcentral.
GACGAACGCUGGCGGCGUGCCUAAUACAUGCAAGUUGAGCGCUGAAGGUUGGUACUUGUACCAACUGGAUGAGCAGCGAACGGGUGAGUAACGCGUGGGGAAUCUGCCUUUGAGCGGGGGACAACAUUUGGAAACGAAUGCUAAUACCGCAUAAAAACUUUAAACACAAGUUUUAAGUUUGAAAGAUGCAAUUGCAUCACUCAAAGAUGAUCCCGCGUUGUAUUAGCUAGUUGGUGAGGUAAAGGCUCACCAAGGCGAUGAUACAUAGCCGACCUGAGAGGGUGAUCGGCCACAUUGGGACUGAGACACGGCCCAAACUCCUACGGGAGGCAGCAGUAGGGAAUCUUCGGCAAUGGACGAAAGUCUGACCGAGCAACGCCGCGUGAGUGAAGAAGGUUUUCGGAUCGUAAAACUCUGUUGGUAGAGAAGAACGUUGGUGAGAGUGGAAAACUCAUCAAGUGACGGUAACUACCCAGAAAGGGACGGCUAACUACGUG